UUCUACUACAAAUGUUAAAGCAAAUGUUAUUCAAAAAGUUUCAAGCUAUUGAUAUUUCACCUUUAUAAAAAGAUACCUUCUAAUAAACUGUUCCAUUAUAAGAGUAGCAUCAGCAGUAAAAAGAAAGAAACAUUUAAAUUGUUACUGCAACCAAUAAAAUCAGUUAAAUCAAUUUGUUGUAUAAGUAAGGUAACAAUGUUUGCUACUUGUAGAUCUGUUCAUUUAAAACUGAUAGAUCUAAAGUAGGCAAGAUUCUAAAAACCAGUCAGGAACAUCUUCCAAGGUACGGAAGAUCAGACCGUUAUGGGACACGGCAAUUUCAGAUAUAUGUGUGCCUGCAUCUGCAGGGCAGCUGUUGAGUGGACUUUGCAAUGAACCAGGCAAGCAGAAAUUCUGUUGUAGUAUGGGAAUGGAUUAAGGCAGUACUAUUAAAUGCACACGGUACAGCUACAUAAAACUACUACCUUCUUCUGUGAGGAUGCUGCACUUUGAGAUCAUAAUGUAAUUGUGUUAGUUACAAAGAAGAACAAAUAAAAGACUAAUGAUAUUAACUAUCUGGUAAAAUAAAUAACAUUUCUGUGAUGGCAAUUAAAUAUUAUAAUCACACUUUUUCCACUGUUAUUUGAAAAAAAUUAUUGAGCUACAGCUAUAAUUAAAAUUUCACCUUUUUUUUUUUUUUAAUGAAAAUAGUGCUAAUAGGUACUGUGUUCAACUGAACUGUUUCUGUACUCAUUCAAACUACCAUAUAAUGGUAAGACUAACAUACAAAAUAAUUCAAAAAAUAGUUUUAGGUCUGGAACCAUUCUGUGUGAUUUAGGAGUCAACAGAAUCUGCAUAUUUAAAAUAACCUCCAAAAAAUCAUGUGCAACAACUUGCUAGUACGUGUAUAACACUGAGAGAUGACUUUUCAUACAAUUCAUGAGCAUGGCACUCUUCUGCUCUCCCUUACAAAGAAGGUGUCCAAUCCAAGCAUGCCAGCAACCUACUGAACCUCUGGACUUUGGGGAUCAGCUAUCUUCUCUGGAUAUAUUGCAAAUCACUGUCAGAAAUGGGCAUAGGGUGGAUUGGCUGUUUCCCAGAACAGGCAUCAUAUGUACAUCUUAAUACAUCUUCUGUCUUGCUGAAACAAUAUUACAUGUCUGGGUACCCAUUUUAUAUCAUCAACUCAUCAUAAGGCAGAGAAGAGAGCUUAAAUCCUCGUUUCCCCUAGUAAAUCCCUGCAUGGAGUGAAUGUACCCACCAAGGUCAAUUCUUCCUACAAAUAGGUUGAGUUUUAUGUAGAGAAAAGUUGAUGAAUUCAUUCCUAAUACAUCACCUCCAUGUCUCAGGUGACAAGUCCAAGCCAACAAGUGUGGCUAAUGGGCAUCAUGGCAGUAACAUUCAUGGAUUGUGAGUACUCUGCUUGAGUACAGUGCAUUUUUUUUAUGCUGAGUGAUCUUGAGCAAACCAUUUUUCCAGCUAUGAUAUAAAGAAAAUGACUCAGUCUUCAAUUAAAAAUAUGUUACAAUCUACGCCUGAAAAGCUCCAUAUGAGAAACAGCUAUUGUUAUUAAAAGUGAUGCAAGGAUCUGUAUGAAGUCCCCCUCAAACAAUGUAAGAUCUAUUGUUCUUUAUCUUCACUUUUUCUUUUGUCUUCACUUUUUUGCCUCCCACAAAUCCAUUCUCAUACUCAACCUUUGUGAGACCAUCAAAGCAGAUGCAAUAAGCAGCCUGGAAUAAUUACUUCAGUUUAAGGCAAGUAAAGAGAUAGAGAACAAGUCAAUAAACAAGCUGAUGAAGAUUCCCCUUCACAAUCCAAAACAACUCUAUAAACUUACAUAUAAUCCUCAUACCGUGUUUCUUCUGCAGUCCCUCCUCUUUCUCUCCUUGUUGUUUUUCUGUUGUUACUUGACAUGCUGUAUCUGCUUCAGUCCAAAUGCCCUUAAAGGCAAGGGCUGUAUCUUUUUCCUAUCUUUAUUGUGUCUCCAUAUAAAAGUAGGAAUGAACAUUACUUUUGAAAUAUUUUCAAGAGAACGCUUUGAUGAUUUACUGUUCUGCGUCUUUGUAAACACUUUGUUAUCUCCCCUGCAGGGAAUCAACUGCCUCUUUUGGAUCUUUUGUCACUGAUAUUUUCUGAGUGUUCCUGAUUUGUCUAUCACAGAGCUGAAAUGGGUGCCUUUAUAAUAAUUUGCUUCAUACUGAUUUAUUUCUUGCAGAGUCAUAUCACCCCACGGCCUAUUCUCACUACCCUUUGCGCAGUUACUCACACUGCUUGGUGCACAGAUUUUUUUCACUGCAAGACUGCACUGAUUUCUGAGGAAACCUAAAGGCUAUCUUUGCAACAGCAUAAGGAAAAGCAAGGGUCUGGCAGGGUGUGGCACUGUGUCCUUGGUCCUUGUUGGCAUUCAUGAGACACCUUUGGACUUCCUGAUCCGCUAUCUUUAUCAGCACACACCAGACAUUUACUCCUUGAGUUUCUCUCAAGGAGUUGUUUCUGUUGGAAUGGCAUUUACAGGCUAUGCAUUAUGUGAAGACAUACUUUUUUUGUAAAGCCUGCAGUGUGAUAGCCUCGUUUGGUGCCUCCGUGUUCUUGUCUUAUGAGAUUCUUCAUGUUUUUGUUGACUGCGAGGAUUUGGAAGAAGUAAAGGCAUGUGAAGAGAUUUCAACCUCCCCUGCUGUUAAGACCAACUCGUGCAACAUGUCCUACUGCAUCACAAAAUUGAGCUACAGAUGUUCUGAGAGACCCAUCCAUUGAAUUAAACAUCUGCUGGGAGCAAUGAGGCUCAUUCCUGAUCAAGACUUUGAUGUGCUCCUGUCUAUCCAUCUACUUCCACAUACUAAAUAAAACAAAGAAGAUACUGGAAUGAGAGAGCACGUAAGGCCAAAGGGUAGAGUCCAAGCCCACCACAUUUUAUAGAGACGUUGCGGAGCCUGCAUAGGAGUCGAAGACAGGAGGGAGAAGUUGCUGCAAGCUAUUUUCAUUACAAGAUUGCACACUAAAAAAGAAAAUGCCACCCUAGAGCUUGGUGUUAACUUAGUUAUCUUACAGACAACUCAAUUUGAAGAAGAAUUACAGUUUAGAAAGCAAAGAGAAGAAUCUGUCACCUAGACUAAUAGCAGUCAGAGUUUCUUCAAGGAAGAAAAUGUUAGAGGCUAAAACUACUGCCAGAUUCCAUGGCAAAGCCAAAUGCAGUGGGGAGGUUCUCCUGUGGUUCAUCAAUGAACUCUGGGUCAGGUAUUCCGUUCCCCCUUUGUGUGCUAGUGGAAUGAAAAAUGAGUCACCCCUGCAGAAAGCAGCUUGGCCCUCAUGCCAGGUGGUCUGAUGACAGCACAUUGCUGUGUAGGGCAUGUUAUACCUCUACGCUUUUCUUAUCAAAAUGUCAAUACUUUCUCAUUGCCUUUGAGUGUUCCUAGGAAAGUAUAUACAGGCUGCAGGAAAUGAAAGUCAUGAGAUUGGAAGGGCUGAGAUAGGUGCUCCCAGGAAAAGGCCUCAGGUGGAGACAGGAACUUUAGCAAGAGGACAAAUGAGCUGUUAGUUACAUACUUUUCAAAGCCUGCAGUUGCAAUUUUGAAAGGCAGAAGUAGUAGUUCAGUGCCUGGUUCCCAGAGAGUUUUAUGAAAUCUGUUGAAAUCAGAACAAACUAACAAGCCCACUGUCAACAUGAAAAAUGCAGCAGGUUUCCCUUCUUCUCCUCUGUACUUUGGCUUCCUGACUGGGCUUCAUUUUGUGAGGUCUGUUGUCACUGCUUAGGGAAAAACUGCAAAUUACCUACACACAUUUACUUUUUUGUGGGUCAAUAGCACUGCAGUGUAAUGCUGCCCAUUCUCAGUCUGUGACAACUUUGCCCCCAUCCUCCCGCUUCAGCUUAGCUUUUUUCCCAUUUUGCAUAGGUCACAUUGGGCUUUUGAAAGCAGGAGAAGGAAGCACUAAAGCUCAGUCUUUGGGCUUUUCCUCUGUCUAACUUGCCCUGUCACCACUGUGGCUCUGAGCUGCCCCAGGCAUGGUCUCCAUGGCCCUACUGCUGCAGUGAGUAUAAGGCAGUGCUGGCUGUACAGCACCAUUCCCCCAACUCCUGUUGCAUAUUGCUGUAACAUUAGUAAUUAUAAAAAUAAAAUAAAAAAUCCAGUGCUUCAUUUUAAAAUGUCAUUGCUUGAUUUAAUAUCACUGGGAGCUGACCUCCCACCAUGGGUCUGUAGAUGAAGCUUCCCAACAUGCUCCCGCAGGGGCUGUGCUUUGGCACAGCUGGGCUGUGCAGAAAGGGAACGCAACCUCAGGCUCUGCUGCCUUCUCCAAGGAAACUGUGAGCUGCUUUUCUGAAAGAAAAGUGGAGAUUGCAUUGUACUUCAUUGCCCGAAAAUGCAGCCUGAAUUUCAGGCAAGAGUGCAUUGCACCAGAUAAGUUGAUUGUUUACAUAAAAUGCACUUUUUAAAGUAACUACCAAAAAAAAAAAAGUAAGGUGUGCAACAGCAACAGACAGCACUAGCAGCAAUACAAAGCUGGUUACUAAUGGGCUGGGAUUUAGGCAUUGUUUCAAGGUAAAUUUGUAUUCAUAUAGAUGCACCAGGAAAGAUUUUAUAUGAGAAAGUCAAUGAAAAGAAAAACUCAAACUGAUCACAGAUGCUUACACGCUAUUCUGCCAUAUCUGAAUUUUAUGUGUAUGUUUGGUGGCUGAUCAUUUGGAUAGAGACAAAUUUGUUUUAUUUCUUUCCCUGCAGCUUGUUCAUUAAAAUUCUGUUUUACUCCAGCAGCCAGCAUUGUGCUGCAUCCUGACAUCGGCGCAGAGGGAAACUGCCACAACAGACACAUGCCAGCCGUCCCUACCAAUCCAGCAAACUAUUGCUUCCCUGCAUGGAAAUAUAGUAUUUAUCCUCUUCCUGGGGAAAUAACAGAUUCUGCAGCAAGACAAUGGAACGCAGCUUGUUCAUACAUAGUGAAAGUACACAUGUGGUAAACACAACAGCCUGAUUUCCCUCUGCAUCUCCUCGGUUUUGCACAGAUGCGUACCAAAAUGAUUUCUACCGAUCUGUUUUUUCUGGCAGCUGUAACAUUGAGCUCUCAUUCUGCCAACCUCCCACGUAGUUCCUGAGUCCCAGAAAGGUGGCUGGCCCCAUGCUUGUUCCCACAGGGCCUGAGCAACGCGUGUCUUCCCAGAGAACCACAUGCUGGCACCCUGUGAAUUCCAGGGUGCGUAUCGCUGCCUUAUCUCUUGGAUUAGUGCAGAAAUUCCUCCGCAGCAUUGAAAUGCUGGCUUUAUGCCAAAAUUCCUAGAUGCCUAAAAUUAAGCUUUGAAGCCCAAGCUAAGCAAGGGCUUACGUACCGAAAGUGGACUUUAGAUGGAAUUCUGGCACCUGAGUGCCAAACAAUCACAGAACCAUUGAAAAAUGUAAUUGAUCAACUAUUUUCCAUCCCUAGAGAUACAGAACACCUGGGGAUGCAUUACUUUCUAACUAGAAGUUCUCCAGCUGCCUGAAGCUGUUUGAACAUGCUGUCCAGAACUGGCCUAGAGCUGGCUUAAGUGGAUAUGCCAGAAUUUAACUGGGGUCUCCGCAACCCUCACCUUGCAACUAAACACUUGUAAAACAGUAAAUUUUCAGCAGUGUCUAUGUAUUGCAGCACAGAUUUGCUGGUGUUCAGCACCUCUGCAGUGGAAACCAUAAACUGAUAUCUCAUUCUGAUUCUUUUCUCCUUAUCUAAACUUAAUUUCAUUUGCACUGUUGAUGUAUCAGUGCAAUAGCUUAAGCAGUGAAAGUAUCUGUUUUUAGAAAAUGCUCAGCAUCUAUUGAAUUCCAGCAUCCUUCAGGCCUUAAUGUUAGGCUACAUUUGAGAUGCAAAGGGGAAUAUUCACAGAAACUCUCUCUGCAGCAAGUUAUGCCUUGUUGGCUUUCACAUUGACUCAGUGUUUGCUCAUUCAGCAUUAGAGAGCCCAUUAUUUGGGCCCAGACUCUGAUAGGUAAGGAAUCAGAACAGGAGGAGAUUUUGCGUCAGUGUGUGGGCUGUGAACGCAACGAGGUGAUUAAAUAGACACUGGCAGCAGAAGAUAAAGUUAGCAAUUAUGAGGCCAUUUCCAGGAACAGCCUGCUCAGAAUAAAAUUAUUUUGCUCAAAAUCAGCAGGUAAAAGUAAAAAAAGGCUUUCAAAGAGGUCUGCUGCUGCCACAAGAUUGGGUUUUCUUUCCCUUUCCUUUAGAGUUGCCAGCUAAAAGGUUGCACAGAUUCCCUUUGCACAUAUCUCAGUGAUUAUACUUAAUAUUGUUGCCCCUCUUUUCAGUGCUAGUAGAGCUCAUGCAGAAGUUGGGCUGGAGAGUGAUACUGCCUGCUCACAAUGCCAAGGCAGCAGGAAUAGGGAACUAUAAAGAUUCUUACACCUUCUCUUCCUGAUGCUGUGAGCAUAGCACAAAUGGGCAACCGCCUGCAAGUGGAUUAAUACUGCCCUCCAUCAUAUUUAGGACAAGGUGACUGAAGCCUCACCAGAUAAUCUGCUUGGGGCCAGCUAUAAGGGGAAAUGUGGAGGAAAAGGGUAAAGAUCACAGCUUUCUUCCGUAUGGGAUGCCAGAUUCUUAAAAGAUGACAACUAUUUUCAGUCAUUCUUGACAUGAUUGGCUUAACAGUACUUUUCUCAUAAGUGAAGAUCAAAUUCUUGCCAUGCACAUAAGCCUUCCACUCCUCUGCACUUUGCUUUGUUUAGGAAAUAUGCAUACAUCACUUUCAUAUUGCACAAGCUGGCUAAUAUUGAUCAACGUGAGCUAUUGAAUAUGCAUUUAUACCUGCUGAGAGCACUUCAGGUGCAGGGAAUAUUAUGUUAUGAGCCAUAAAUGCAUGAAUUUCCAUUGUAAGAAGACUGAUGUGACAGCUCACCCUCCUGUAAAGAUUGUUACCUGUACAAGAACCUUGAUCUCCUUACACAUUUCCACUGAGAUUGAAACAGUAGAUAUUUUGGAAGCUUUCUGAAUCACCUGACUUUAUAAGAUUUUCUUACCAAAACAAAAUACUUGAAGGAUAUCUCUGUUUUGUUAAGAUUUUCACAUUUUUUCUGCUGUCUCAUAAAAGUAGAUACAUGACAAAAUAGUCCUUAAAUCCUUCUCUCUGCUAUCAAGUCCAUCCCUCAGAAUAGAUUCUUUCAGCAGGGAGACUACCAAAUAACAUGCAAAUCCACUGAAGUGGUCUCAACUAAAUAUAACAGUAUGGUGUGAGUGGGAAAAAAUAUACAUAUGUUCUCUUGCGCCUUUUGUGUAAUCAGGGCCACAGGAUUUUGCCAGUGCCUCCUCCAUCCCUCCUACCCAGCUAUACUUCAGGGUCCAACCUCAGUACUGUUCUGUCACUGUACAUAAUACAAGUAACACAAUUUCUAUAGAAGUCUCCACAUAGAAAGAUGCACCUAAACUCAGAGCCCCAUUGCUGCAGUUAAAGCUUGAGACAUAAAACCUGGACAGUAAACCUUCACAGUGAAGGCACCGACAAACAAGGCUGCAGUUAUGUGGAAUAUAAGAUGACCAAGGCAUUUAGGUUCUACUCAUUGUUAAAAAGACACUACAAAUAAAAUAUAUCCUGCGCACAAGUAUUUUGCUCCUGUGUUUGUUUGGAUGGUCUUUUUUUAAGGAAAAAAACAAAAAUGUUUUAAAAUCCAUGCUGUGGGAGAUGGGAGACUGUAGAGUCAAUGACACCAAUUCAUGA
Meleagris gallopavo (turkey) is the source of this 7648-nucleotide long non-coding RNA. RefSeq lists it as uncharacterized. NCBI's taxonomy places the organism in Eukaryota, Metazoa, Chordata, Aves, Galliformes, Phasianidae. The record is from RefSeq and is a predicted model, not a curated record.